This 3208-nucleotide long non-coding RNA is filed under the name Salvia miltiorrhiza (redroot sage). RNAcentral's name for it is "long non-coding RNA (SMIL_LNC004572)". Lineage: Eukaryota; Viridiplantae; Streptophyta; Magnoliopsida; Lamiales; Lamiaceae. The record is from RNAcentral.
GUCACGGGAGCGCUGAUGGAGCCGCCCCCGUGCAUGUAGUGGUGCACGAACUUUGAUGAGGAGGGCGAAGAAGUCGAGGACGAGAGGUUUCGGAGCCAUGGAAUGAGAGAGUUGCCAUCGGCAGGGAUGGGACUGUAGGAAGUGCAGGGGCUUUGUUGGUAAGGUGAGCAUGCACUACCUGAAGCUGCUGAUAUGGAACCCUUCAUGAAAUCCAUGCUGUCUACCGGUUUGCAUCCCUAUCAGAAAACAAUUCAUUUCAACAAAAAUCAUCAACAAAUAUACUCCCUCCGUCCCGCCCAAGAUGCUACAUAUUCCUUUUUGGGCCGUCCCAACGAAGAUGCUACAUCUCUAUAUUUGGCAAAAAAUAGGAAUUUUAAACACUUAAUUAACACUAAUUAAGUAUUUCUUUAUUACCUUCUCUCUCCUACUUUAUCACUUUUUACCUUCUCUUUCUUACUUUAUCACUUUAUUACUUUCUCUCUCCUACUUUAUCACUUUAUAAUUACACACUUAAAACAUUAAUCUACAACUCCUUAAAUCCCGUGCCGAAGAGCAAAUGUAGCGUCUUGGCCGGGACGGAGGGAGUAUUAAUUAAGAAGAUUUUCUUAAAUUUAUAACAAANAACAUUUUACAAAGGUCCUUGCUCCUUUAAAGCUAGUGACAUAUUUAAAUCUUUUGUCAAGUUCUAAUCAAACAUGACCAAGUUAUAACUAUUAGUCGAUGAUUAUCAUGUUUUGAUGUUAUGGCCGUUUAGACUGACUGAUACUAAUAUUGUCUGUAUGGUAAUUUGUUGCACUUGCAGGUGCAUAUGUUGGUUGCUCUCUUGGUGGAAAUAUGGUUAAAACGCGAAAUCAAGAAAAUUGAAGUUUUACGGUAACCCAUCCAUCUCAGCAUCCGAGAUUCUUUGUGGUUCGAUGCCACGGCCUCCUGCUGCUUCUGCAUUAUAUCAGGCAUUAUCAGAAUUAUACGACAAACACAAUUGAAGUCGAUAUCCAGCUAUCAUCCCCUUCAAUCCAACUGCGUAUAUACAUCAUUGCCAUUUCAAUUUGAAUCUUUCAAAUUCUUUAAUGCACUUGUACAGGGAAAAGAACAAGUGCAAGUUGCAUAAUGUAAGUAUUUGCAUUAUUUGAAUCUUCAACAUUUAUGUUGGCGUUCAUUGUUUUGAUAUUGGUAAACGUAAGAUGAAUAGGGCAAUCUUGAUAUUUGAAGUAUAUUUAUCACAGCGAAACAGCAUCAAGAUAAACUGACUAUUCAUGACUUGCACUAGUAAUAUAUAAAUAAACUUGACUUAUCAGCAUUUUGCAGAAUCAAAUUUCUCGGCAAACUAUGAUGCUAUUGAAAUUCCCCUCCCUCCACAUAACAGUCUUGCUUCUACUUGAACCAUAAUUUAUCUGCGUGAUAAUACAACAAAUUAAACUCCUUAAUGUUCUUUCAAUUUUUCAACAAAUGGAGUCAUGGUGAUCUACCUGGCUUUCGAGCUCCCAAGUGUGAGUUCAAGUUCAUCCGGACCGCACUCUUCGUGUAUCGUCUCUCCUUCCCAAGGCUUCACGAGACUCGUCGUGCUGCUGCUUCCAAACACAAACUCAUUUGGAAUCACCUGAGCCAUGGGGAUAUCAGCAGCACCCGCGACAGCAGGGGAGCACGUCCCGCUCCGCCCGGGUGUGCACAUGAGAGAUCCAUUCCGCGUCAGAUCCUCCACUCUGAACCCGAAUGGGUUCGAGGAAACGAGGCUGAACGUCGGAGAAGUCGUCCCACUCUGGCUAACAUGAGUCCCCGGGUACCACAUCUGGCGCCCGGGGCUCGGCGGCGUGGACAGCGGAAGCAACGGGUGCUGGGAUCCAAGGCGAGCAAACGAACCUCCCCAAUCAGCGGUGACCCGUGGGGUUCCGGGAGUCGGGGAGCUCGAGGGAGGGGUCACGGGAGCGCUGAUGGAGCCGCCCCCGUGCAUGUAGUGGUGCACGAACUUUGAUGAGGAGGCCGAAGAAGUCGAGGACGAGAGGUUUCGGAGCCAUGGAAUGAGAGAGUUGCCAUCGGCAGGGAUGGGACUGUAGGAAGUGCAGGGGCUUUGUUGGUAAGGUGAGCAUGCACUACCUGAAGCUGCUGAUAUGGAACCCUUCAUGAAAUCCAUGCUGUCUACCGGUUUGCAUCCCUAUCAGAAAACAAUUCAUUUCAACAAAAAUCAUCAACAAAUAUAUUAAUCAGUAGAUAUAGCCAUAAUAAAUUUAUAAUAAAAUGACAUGUACAUUUGAAAAUAUCUCAUAAAACAUACUCCCUCCGUCCACCAAAAAUAUGCCACAAUUUCCUUUUUCGUCCGUCCACAAAAAAUAUGCCACUUCCAUUUUUAGUAGUAGGGUCCACACAACUCCACUCACAUUUAAAGUGGGACCCUUACUCCACUACCAACUUUACUCACAUUCAUAGAUAUAGCCAUAAAAAAUGCAUGUACAUUUAUCAUACUAUCACAUUAGUCUGCCUAUAUAAUUCUAGACAUAUUUCCAUCUGAAACAUGGUUUCCAACCCCACAAUUAUUUUGCCAGAACUGCAAAAAAUGUUUUGGACUUUUUUGCCUGUUUGCUUUGAUGAACCAAAAUUUGAUUCUGUGGGGGCAAAACAGUCUUUUAGCAAAACCCAAAGCAAUAAUGUAUAGUUUAGGCUGGAGAUCCCAAGAGAUCUUUUGACAAUUUCCAGGGGCAUCCUUGUCUUCUCAAAAAUCCCAAAUCCCAAUGAUCUCCAACACCAUGUCCCUCAACUUCUCUUCUUUUCACAGUAUUCAUCAUAUUUUACUUUUAUCACAGAAUAGAAUAUAAUUUGAUGCUGCAAAUAUCAUGGUCAACAAAGGGAGGAAAAGCAAGCGAGCACGAGAUCAUCCAAUAUUCAGAUUUCUUUUCCAAACUUGUAAAACAAAUUAUGAGCUGAUUAUCAACUUCAAUACAUUGUGAAAUUGAUCGAAAAUUGAUGGAAAAUCGUGCGAGUGAGAUAAUGACCUUGCGAUAGGUGGUCCCGUCGGGCUCGACUGUCCAGCCGGCCUCGUGGCAGAGAGCUUUGAGCACCUCAUUGUUGUCGCAGUGCUUGGGGAGCGUGUAGUUCCCGUAGAGGCGGAGGCCGGCGAAUAUCUUCGCCGCCAUGGCCCUCCGCCGCCGCUCCCGGCACUUGUUGUUCUCCCGCUCCUUCCACGACGGCAUCCGCGAUCCCCCGACCAUGAUUCUCU